Molecule: non-coding RNA, 207 nt
Organism: Oryza brachyantha (malo sina)
Lineage: Eukaryota; Viridiplantae; Streptophyta; Magnoliopsida; Poales; Poaceae
Source: Rfam
AAUAAGAUCAGUUUUUAGUUUAUAGAUACAAUGUUUUGACUUUUCGUCUUAUUUGAAAUCUUUGUGUGAUUAAUAUUUUUAUUAUUACUAGAUGAUAAAACACAAAUAGUACUUUAUGCGUGACUAUUUUUUUAAGAUUUUGUACAAUUUUUUUAAAUAAGACGAAUGGUCAAACGUUGGACACAGAAAUCGAAAAAUAAAGUUAUU